This 426-nucleotide ribosomal RNA is filed under the name uncultured bacterium. RNAcentral describes it as "partial 16S ribosomal RNA". It matches the Rfam family "Bacterial small subunit ribosomal RNA", at positions 354 to 796 of the family's 1533-position model. The record is from RNAcentral.
GUUAGGAAUCUUCCACAAUGGGGGCAACCCUGAUGGAGCAACACCGCGUGCUGGAUGAAGGCCUUCGGGUCGUAAACAGCUUUUGUAUACGAAGAAUAUGACGGUAAUAUACGAAUAAGGGUCGGCUAACUACGUGCCAGCAGCCGCGGUCAUACGUAGGACCCAAGCGUUAUCCGGAGUGACUGGGCGGAAAGAGUUGCGUAGGAGGCUUAUUAAGCGAGUAGUGAAAACUGGUGGCUCAACCAUCAACACAUUGCUAGAACUGAUAGGCUUGAGAAUGGUAGAGGUAGUUGGAAUUUCUUGUGAAGGAGUGAAAUCCGUAGAUAUAAGAAGGAACACCAAUGGCGUAGGCAGACUACUGGACCAUUUCUGACGCUGAGGCACGAAAGCGUGGGGAGCGAACCGGAUUAGAAACCCCAGUAGUCC